GGCCCCAUAGUUCAAGGGAUAGAAUAGAAGUUUCCUAAACUUUAGAUACAGGUUCGAGUCCUGUUGGGGCUACCA
This 75-nucleotide transfer RNA is filed under the name Bacteroidota bacterium. RNAcentral describes it as "Bacteroidetes bacterium (aquatic metagenome) tRNA-Arg". It matches the Rfam family "tRNA". Rfam says of the family: Transfer RNA (tRNA) molecules are approximately 80 nucleotides in length. Their secondary structure includes four short double-helical elements and three loops (D, anti-codon, and T loops). Lineage: Bacteria; Pseudomonadati; Bacteroidota. The record is from RNAcentral.